Long non-coding RNA from Triticum dicoccoides, 2552 nucleotides. RefSeq lists it as uncharacterized. The transcript has 7 exons. Lineage: Eukaryota; Viridiplantae; Streptophyta; Magnoliopsida; Poales; Poaceae. The record is from RefSeq and is a predicted model, not a curated record.
UCUGAUAUCAUCUAGCUCAAGUAGGAACUUUCUGCUCCAAUGUUUGCUAUGAAAGGUUAUAACUAAUACAUCUUCGAUCAGUAUUCCGAUUUCCUUGCCUGGUAUAUUUCAGUCCCUUGUGAAAUGAAUCGUUUAUGUGUAUGAAAGUUUUUAGAAUAUCAAAAAAAUAUUUAGUUUUAGUGUCCAGUUCACUGCCAAUUCUCUUACUGCUUACCAUGCAAAUAAAUUAUCAUGUGGAUUGACUAUGCCUUGCUUACAUUGCAUUGGUUUAUUUUGCUAUUUGUGGCCUAUAGUAAACUCAUGUAUCAUGGAUGGUUACUUUGAUUUUUUUAAUGUAAACAGUUUCUCAAACCUUCCUACUAAUCUGACCAUUAUCUGCUUAAUUACAACAUUUGGACCGUCACCCUCGCACCAAGGCACCCAGUCGGCUCGCCGCAAGUACAGCUACGCCACCGCCUCCCCGGGGGGCUGCAAGGUGAAGUGGACGGCCGAGGAGAAGCCGCACGGUGGGGUCGGGCUCUCAAGUGGGAGGCGGAGCUCGCCUCCCACAACGACGACCGCGUCGAUCGCAAGUGGAAGUGGGAGCCCAAGUCCAAGCCCGGUGCCGCCGGCAAGGCCAAGAUCAAGCUCGAGGAAGCCAGCGAGGAUGACAAGAAUAAGCUGGAGAGGAAGUGCACGUAGAUCGAGGAGGUCCUCGCCGGCUACGAUGCCAUCUUCAAGAUAUGUAGUUCUUCCCGUCGCUGGUCCGGAUCUGUUACUGAGCUCAUCGACCUGUGGGUGCUGCUUAUUUUGGUUGAUCUUGUUGGAUCCGUGGCGUCCUUCACGUCUUCGUCCAUGUCCAGGGAACUGCAGGUUGAUGGUCGAGCUGCAAUCUAAAUUUGGAGCGUGUCCUUUUGUUGGUGCCGUCGUUCUCUCCUCCAUGACCGUCGUCGUCACAAGCCCAAGUAUCUUGGCUGGGUAUCGACAUAAUUGGUGCACCUAGUUAUUGCAGAGCAGUCGAACGAGUACCUCAAACUGAUACACACUACUUAUGGUGGUCUUCUAAUUGAACGGGACAUUUACAGAAAUUUAAUUUGACCGGAGAAGCUCUCGGGACACUCGGCACCAAAGAGAUUCCUGGUUCUAUCAUCUAUUGCUACUCUCUGUUCUUCUUUUAUCGUCUUCAGGUGAGACGUGAUCUUUAGCCUGCAUCUUUUGUUGUCAUUUCUGGACUAGCUACCUCCUGAUAUACAAAUGCAGUAGGGUCAAUUCAUUUUGGGUUGAUAAGUGUGUGCUUAGAGUAUAGUAGAAUUUUAUUAAGUUACUGUUAGUCGGUAAAUACUUUUUACUUUUGAAUGGAUGCCUUUUAACUUUGAAGGUGAGCCCUCGUCUAAUCGUGUGCCACAGUUUUACUAUCGAAUGGAUAUUUUUUUGUAAAUUUUUGAAUGGAUCAUGGCCAUGCAUAAUUUCAGUUUGGGCUGGAUUUUGGAACUGACAAACAUCAGUUGUAUAUGUGUAUUCAGGUUCAGAAAAGAAAGGGUAUUCAAACUAUUCUCAUUUCUCUAUUAAAUCAAAGAUGAUAAUGACAUCGACAAAGGUCUGUAUGCUCCUGUUGUCAAGUCUACUGAUUUUUUAUUCUUAUUUUAGCAAAGUCUCCCUGGUGAAAGCAUUCUUCGAUGCCAAGUAGCCAGUGAGCUUGCCAACGAGAUACGGAGUAGCAUUUAUUGUGACUUUUCCUCUCAUGUAAACAUGCAUUUAUUUCGGACAUGAAGAAAAACCACACAUGUUAUAAAAUGUUUUCCACUGCAGGUUGUUUUUGGAGGAUUAGUUUUGCAUAUAUUCUAUUUUUAAUAAACAUUAAAUGCUAGGUUCAUUUCAACCUGAACCGUAUUGUUUGGAGAUGUAGUUUAUAGUAAGUUGUUGAUUACCAACUGUUCGGGCAAAAAAAUGCAUGUUUAGGCAGAUUUAGCUUUUGAACUUCUCUCGAGAUAUGUCCCAGACAUCAUAUUUGAAAUGGCUUCUAUUUUCUAAAUACGAGAGACUGGACAUGGCAGUAUGUAAAAAUGUGUCGAUGUUACUUUUCAUUUAUAUUCACAUGCUGUUGUAGUGUUCCAGGCUUGAAAAUGAUAAAACAUUGUGGGUGGCUGCAACUGACCGACUCGAGCUCGCUUCAGCCUCCUCCGAUCCUGCAGCUACUGUCUCCCCAAGCAAAGUCAACCUACAACAACAAGCGUGAUGGAUGCGCCAUGGGGCAAGUCCGUUUGAUGAAAGGUGUGGACGGAAGAGCGACAAUAAUUACGAGGUUGGUCAAAGAUCGAAAGAAAUCUCUUGUGUGUCUUCGGUUUCGACACUACGCAUAGGUUCAUGUGAUGUGGCGUAUGAAAGGUCGAACGUCAAGACGAUCAGGUGGAUCUAUCAAAAAAUAUGCUUCUAUGGAACUAUGUAGGUUUUUGCCUCACAUUGCCGCUGUGGCUUGCUUUUGCUGUAUGAAAAGUACGCUAUAUGUAUCGAACUUGAUGUAGAUUGAUCGAGCUUGCUCACUUUUGGCACAAGUAUAUAUUUCCCAUUUCCUA